This 471-nucleotide small RNA is filed under the name Histoplasma ohiense. Its description in RNAcentral is "hypothetical lncRNA". Lineage: Eukaryota; Fungi; Ascomycota; Eurotiomycetes; Onygenales; Ajellomycetaceae. The record is from RNAcentral.
CAGACGGACGACGUAAAGGUUGUCUGAACUUCCCACUCUUGAGAUGAAAAAAAACCUAAGUGGGGAGGUGGCGCCUAGGGAGGGACAAUGCACCUGUUUAUGCACUACGUUAUUAAGAUGGGGUCGCAUUAAAGGUUGUGAAGUAUACUGCGUAUGAGCGGUAUCUGCCAGGAGAUAGGUACUAGUUGUGCAACGAAACACCCGAGAGCAGGGAAUGGUCAAUCCCAAGAAUACUAGCAGAAAGAAGCCACCUUUACGAAAGCAGGAAUAAUCAACCCUGCAUAAGCACCGAGCUUGUGUGGCAUUCACAAGCCAACCCCGAGAUGGGAGAGAUUAGGAAAAGGAUAUCAUCAAGUCAUCUUCAAUAUACUGCCCCCUCCCCACACUUCUUCGUUUCCUAGAGUCUAUCAUAGUAUUCAGGCGGGUAUGCCAUUAAAUCGCUAUUGAUUUUGAACGCUUCCUCACAAUGAU